CAGCAGCCGCGGUAAUACGUAGGUCCCGAGCGUUGUCCGGAAUUAUUGGGCGUAAAGGGAGCGCAGGCGGACAUAUAAGUCCAUCUUAAAAGUGCGGGGCUCAACCCCGUGAGGGGAUGGAAACUGUAUGCCUUGAGUGCAGGAGAGGAAAGCGGAAUUCCCAGUGUAGCGGUGAAAUGCGUAGAUAUUCGCAAGAACACCAGUGGCGAAGGCGGCUUACGGGCUCGAAACUGACGCUGAGGCGCGAAAGCGUGGGGAGCAAACAGGAUUAGAUACCCCUGUAGUCCCUGUCUCUUAUACA
Molecule: ribosomal RNA, 301 nt
Filed under: uncultured bacterium
Lineage: Bacteria
Description: partial 16S ribosomal RNA
Rfam family: Bacterial small subunit ribosomal RNA
Source: RNAcentral